GGGGAAUAUUGCACAAUGGGGGAAACCCUGAUGCAGCGACGCCGCGUGGAGGAAGAAGGUCUUCGGAUUGUAAACUCCUGUUGUUGAGGAAGAUAAUGACGGUACUCAACAAGGAAGUGACGGCUAACUACGUGCCAGCAGCCGCGGUAAAACGUAGGUCACAAGCGUUGUCCGGAAUUACUGGGUGUAAAGGGAGCGCAGGCGGGAAGACAAGUUGGAAGUGAAAUCUAUGGGCUCAACCCAUAAACUGCUUUCAAAACUGUUUUUCUUGAGUAGUGCAGAGGUAGGCGGAAUUCCCGGUGUAGCGGUGGAAUGCGUAGAUAUCGGGAGGAACACCAGUGGCGAAGGCGGCCUACUGGGCACCAACUGACGCUGAGGCUCGAAAGUGUGGGUAGCAAACAGGAUUAGAUACCCUGGUAGUCCACACCGUAAACGAUGAUUACUAGGUGUUGGAGGAUUGACCCCUUCAGUGCCGCAGUUAACACAAUAAGUAAUCCACCUGGGGAGUACGACCGCAAGGUUGAAACUCAAAGGAAUUGACGGGGGCCCGCACAAGCAGUGGAGUAUGUGGUUUAAUUCGACGCAACGCGAAGAACCUUACCAAGUCUUGACAUCCUGCGACGAUGCUGGAAACAGCAUUUUCCUUCGGGACGCGGAGACAGGUGGUGCAUGGUUGUCGUCAGCUCGUGUCGUGAGAUGUUGGGUUAAGUCCCGCAACGAGCGCAACCCUUACUGUCAGUUACUACGCAAGAGGACUCUGGCAGGACUGCCGUUGACAAAACGGAGGAAGGUGGGGAUGACGUCAAAUCAUCAUGCCCUUUAUGACUUGGGCUACACACGUACUACAAUGGCGUUAAACAAAGAGAAGCAAGACCGCGAGGUGGAGCAAAACUCAGAAACAACGUCCCAGUUCGGACUGCAGGCUGCAACUCGCCUGCACGAAGUCGGAAUUGCUAGUAAUCGUGGAUCAGCAUGCCACGGUGAAUACGUUCCCG
RNAcentral lists this ribosomal RNA (995 nucleotides) under uncultured organism. RNAcentral's name for it is "bacterial SSU rRNA". It matches the Rfam family "Bacterial small subunit ribosomal RNA", at positions 356 to 1376 of the family's 1533-position model. The record is from RNAcentral.